This 741-nucleotide long non-coding RNA is filed under the name Homo sapiens (human). RNAcentral's name for it is "non-protein coding lnc-AAGAB-1:26". Lineage: Eukaryota; Metazoa; Chordata; Mammalia; Primates; Hominidae. The record is from RNAcentral.
GCACUUGGAGCCCAGGGCAGGGUUCACAGAGCUAUUUUCAGUUCUCUUGCAGGAUCUCCUUCCCAGCCUUCAGAAAUUGCCGGUCUGGGAGUUGGGGGCAAGGAGAAGAUCCUGCAACCCAGUGAUUCCAUGGAAAGCAGAAAGAAGGACAUAAAGAAACGGAUACUUGGUGACAUCUUUGACUCACUGGAUCAAACCUUGCCUGAAGCUCACAUUUCUGAAAUUUCCAGAUACAAGAACAAAUACUUCCUCUUUAUUGUUUUACUAGAUUUGAGACAAGCUUUAAGUUUCUCAGACUCUUCCUCUUCCUAACAGAUUUAUCAGAAGCUGAAAGCUCUGAUCUUGUUGGGAUGCGGAUCGUGUCAGGAGAAGGCUUACUUUGCACGCUUUUCUUAGUCUGGUUGCCUAACUCAAGAACCUCGGCAUGGCUCUGUUACUUCUCUACUCAGACAAGCAUCCCUGCAGACACUCACUAGGCUAACUCUGUCUUUAUUUUUAGAAUUAGACCUUUACGAGAAGCACAGUUUUGUCUUCAGUUUCCUCUCCCCCCACCCGGAAUGGCCUGAGCCGAAGCCAGCUCCCUCCGAGAAGUCAUUACCGCCUGACUUGCGUUUGAUAUUUAGACACCUUGGUCACAACAUCUUGCAUUCUCUCGGGAUGCUGAUUUCUAACUGCUCUUUGGCCUUUCCUGCAUUGGUCCUCCUCAGGCAGGGGAUCCCUGCUCUUCUAUAUUAGUGAGUA